RNAcentral lists this transfer RNA (70 nucleotides) under Parevania sp. SJW-2015. RNAcentral describes it as "tRNA-Leu". Lineage: Eukaryota; Metazoa; Arthropoda; Insecta; Hymenoptera; Evaniidae. The record is from RNAcentral.
UCUAUUAUGACAGAUUAAAUGUAUUGAAUUUAAACCUCAAAAAUAAAGAACUUUAUGUUUUUUUUUAGAA